Molecule: long non-coding RNA, 2161 nt
Organism: Suricata suricatta (meerkat)
Lineage: Eukaryota; Metazoa; Chordata; Mammalia; Carnivora; Herpestidae
Source: Ensembl
GCGAGGGUGUGCGGCGAGGUGCUGGCUUCGGGGGGAAGCGGCCACCACCGCCGGCCUCCGCCGCUCCGCGCCUCUCUCCCGGCCACCCUGCGCCGCCAGGGCCCCGCGGACCUGCAAACCCGAGGCCGAGAGCGGAACUGCCCUGCCGUUUCCCGGGCUCGGGGAUCUCGGGGCUCGCGAUGGCGAUGCGCCGCGAGGAAAGGCGAGGAGCUGCGUGGGGGCUGAGUGUCCUCGGAGCGCCGGGACGCGGGGAGCGCACGCCCCCGGGCUGGGGAAGCUGCCGCCCCGGGACCCCCUGGGCCAAGUCCCUCCAUCUUCGCGGCGCCCGAGCACUGAGGCCGGGGCGGCCGGCGCUCUGGCCUUGGAUGGAAAGUGGGAGAUGGGAUGCGGGGCUCCGGACCUCCUAACGUGGAUUACUUGGUGCGUCCCAGCCGGGCUCAGAAGACUCAGGACCUCCCUCCAUCCUUGGAUUGAUUCAUUCCACCUGGCCGUCGGGUCGCGUUACCCGGAGGUGAAGUCAGAAGUUUGAGGCUGGCCUGCGUAGAUGCUCCGAACCAGACAAAAAGCUAUCUUCUGUUGACGCGGACGCACAGACUGCUGUGAGGACGCCCCCGCCCUUGCGGGUGGCCACGGGGACCCAUGCCAGAACACGGUUUUUCCUUACAGACUCUGGCUACCAGAGCGGGGGUGCUUAUUGAGGGUCCUCUUCCCCCAGGAUGCCUGUGACACUCACUGACAGCAGCUCAGGCCCUGCGAAACACGGGUCAAAUAUUCCGUCACCACCGUGCGCCUGGCUAAAAACCCUUCUGGAUCAAUCUUGGCUACACUGCAGAACCAACAGUGUCCGUACAUCCCGCUUCCCGAACAAAUGGAUGCCUCGUCUUUGUAGAAGAAUUAAAGUUGUACGUAUCUGUCUUCUUGUUGCAGGGAAUGGGUUCCUGUGACCGUGUAGUGACUUCGGUGUCUUCUAAGGGGAACAUUGGGGACCUUCUUGACAUCUCAGAUUCACCACCAAGUGAGUGAGGGACCCUGUUGAGGAAGUUUCGUGCAGUUGAAACGUACGGCUUGUCCGAGGGCUUUGCCCGCCUUCCUUUCCGGGCACAGACUCCUCGUCCUGGUUAGGUUCCUUCAGGUUUCAAGGAACAGAGAUCCACUCAUCCCCCUUCCGUGAAUGAGGGCUUAUUCCAAGUUGCGUUGGAAACGAGGUAGACAGGAAACAGUCUACCCAGCAGCUGCCCAGCAAGACCUUUCUAGAAGCCCAAAGUCAUCCACGGUGUCCAUUCUGCUCAGCAGCAGGACCCACUGCUCCCGCUUCUAGCCUUCUGCGGUGGUGACGAGCUGACGGAGCUGCUCCAGUUUGCCCGGGGCCGAGCGCUUUCCCGGGACACACGACGUUCAGCGAUAAACCCGGGACAGCCCUGGGCGAACCAGAACAAUUGUCACCCUACUGGGUGACCGGAUGGCACCGCCUCGGCUGCUGCUUCUCCUGCUGGGGCUCGCGGAUGCUCUCCUCUCGUCCGGCCAGCUGCCGUUCAGAGCCCCUGUGUCUGACCACAUCACUGACCACCGGGCAGGCUACAGAUGGAGGCCGUUGGUUCAGGCACCCAUCUUGACCAAAUCCAGCGUUUUCCAGGGUGGUAGGGUUCCAUGACGCUGUAUAAAAACCUGGGUCUAACCAACCAGCUGAGACCACGUCCUUCAGAGGAGGUGCUGUGGAUACCGGAUGUGUCAGCCAUUCAAAGUAUCAGGGAUUCCUCUCCAAUACUGGCCUACUUAAAAAGAUGAGGCUAACCUUUCUUGUUAAGAACAAAGGAGUUCAUUUGAAACAAAAACACAGCCACCGGGAACAGACUACAAUGCGUGCAUGCUCGCAUGUGUGAGGUACAUGCACAUACCACAUAGAAUAAGCCAAGAAGAAAAUUCUGCAUCUUUGCGAGACAGAGGCUAAGAGCUAAGAACCAUUGGGAUGAAGGGGGCACCCGGGGGGCUCAGUCAGUUGAGUGUCCGACUUCGGCUCAGGUUAGGAUCUCACUCGUGGGUUCGAGUCCUGGGUCAGGCUCUGUGCUGACGGCUCAGAGCUUGGAGGCUGCUUCGGAUUCUGUGUCUUCCUCUCCCCUGUUCAUGCUCGUCUCUCUCAAAAUAAAUAAACAUUAACAUUUUU